RNAcentral lists this long non-coding RNA (2100 nucleotides) under Gigantopelta aegis. RNAcentral's name for it is "uncharacterized LOC121381898". The record is from RNAcentral. Lineage: Eukaryota; Metazoa; Mollusca; Gastropoda; Neomphalida; Peltospiridae.
UUUAAUAAGCUUAUUGAUAUCGAAGCGAUUCUACGUACAUUUUUCUGAAUAUAGUUUAAGUUCAGAAAUGAACGAGAAGAAUCACUAUUUGGUAUUUAUAAACAUAUUUAUUUUAAAUGUGUAUAAAUGUAAAACAUUUGCGCAUGGAUAUAAUUCUACCUAAUGGCGACAGCUAACGAAUGUAUUUUGUUCUGUUCAAAUAUUUUCUACAAGUGCUGAGUGGAUAUUUCAACAGAGGCAGGCACAGAUUGCUAUUGGUGGAUGCAUACGAGUUCCAUCAUGGCAGAACCAACAUAUCUGUGAGGCGUGAAAGGCAGGCACAGAUUGCUAUUGGUGGAUGCAUACGAGUUCCAUCAUGGCAGAACCAACAUAUCUGUGAGGCGUGAAAGGUUAGUCUCAGACAGCUUGUGGGUCACAACCAUCGUUUCGUCUGGACACUGAUUGAUAGUUUACGGCAAAAGCAUGCCAUGGCAGCCACAUGUGUUCUGAAGAAUGGGAGAAGGCAAUACUCGAAACAACUCAAAGUUAAAGUGACAGACCCUAGUUUUUAAACACUACGACGUAUUUUUCACUAUUGAAGCUGUUUUUGAUCAUUUAAAUUAGAAGUACUUACAUUUUAUUAUUUAGAAUAUUAAUUUUCGUACACCUAAAGUAGUUCUGGUCAUCAAGGCUUUUGUAAUACUCCAAAAUGCAUUUUUUAUAAUUCUAAAAACGCACGUUCGUCUGAGAAGUAAUGGUUAUCGAGAAAAGUUGUAAAUAUUAUUUUAGAUGGUAUGUCCCCAUUAAACAUCACAGACUUUAUCUUUUUUUUCUGUUAUAACCUUAUUCAGAUAUGUUAUAUGUAAGUAGAUUAACUAAACUUAGUGUUCAUUUUGGCGGAUUGAAACGAGGGCCUGCGCCUUUAAGAGAAAAACUCGGUAACUUUAGAGACGCCUUCGGAAUUUAGAGUUUGGAGAUGAUGAUAAAAUAGUUUCAGUUUUCUUUCUGGAAAGGUAUUCAAAUGUGACUAAUUUUAAGCACGUUUCGUAAAUACGACAAAAAAAAACCCAAGUCAGGUCAGGUUAGGUCAGAGAGUUUAACGUGCACAUUCAGAGCAUAUCCUGGGCACAGAUGUCGACCUCAGCCGGCUCCUCCGUCCAGGACAGGAAAAACACCAAGGCCAAAGUAAAUAAUUAUAUAUAUGUCCUCUUCGAAAUUAGUUGGUUGAGUAUACUGGGUUUUUGGUCCAGUAAGCAUUGCUCUGUACCCAUAUUCUACCGUCAUAGCCAUGAAGCACAUAACACAGAUUCUGUGUUAUGGUCAGGGUUUCCCGAACUCAUGAUUCUAAUCUAGAUGAAGUUUUUGACAAAGAGUGUCUGGUCAUUCUAGAAUUCUCUCCCCACUGCAUCAUCAAGCGUUUGUGAUACGAUUAAAUUCCACUAGAUACUGCUUUCUUCCAUGAAGUCACAUCCCAAUUAAUAGUUUGUGCGAAUUCAUGUACAUGUUCUAUUCUGUCAUGGAAUGCUACACAUGCAUUACGAAUCAUAAAAUCGCAACAUAAUUUUACACUUUGCCCCAAGAGACAGAUUUACCCCAGCGGGCAGAAUACUCCCAUGGGCAAAUAUGUGGCAUAUAAAUGAGGCUUUAGUUAACUUUUGCAACUCCCGAGCAGAUCGAAAACCUUCUUCAUACAAUUCUAGAAGAUAAUGUUUGCUUACUAUGGAUAUUGUCAAGGUCAUAAACAUCAGUCAGAAAUUCACAUAGCAUGGUUAUCAAGGGGAGAUAACUACUGUAUCAACUUUGUGACUAUUGCCAAAAAAAACCCCACUCAAGUCUAAACUAAAAAUUAAACGCCACGAGAUCGAAAUAAUCUGAAUUAUAAUGUGUCAUUUGUUCUGUACUACCGUAUAUUAUAUACACAUGCACGCACGUACACACGCACGCACGUACGCACGCAUGCAUACAUACAUUAUCAUGCACGUAAGCAGGAUCGACCGCAUGUGGUUGACUUAAACAGCAUCUUUUUAUGGAUGUCUGGAUAGCUCAGAACGCAUUGUGGUUAGUCAGCAAUUUGCGGGCGAUUCGAUGCCAUAGGUUAGAGUCCCAGCAACGGCAUGGAGC